GGCUUUGUAUUCAAUUAUGAUAUUAAAUUGCAAAUUUAAAGGUGUAUAAAAACUAAAGCUU
Molecule: transfer RNA, 61 nt
Filed under: Culicoides kibunensis
Lineage: Eukaryota; Metazoa; Arthropoda; Insecta; Diptera; Ceratopogonidae
Description: tRNA-Cys
Source: RNAcentral